This 77-nucleotide transfer RNA is filed under the name Paracoccaceae bacterium. RNAcentral's name for it is "Rhodobacteraceae bacterium (activated sludge metagenome) tRNA-Arg". It matches the Rfam family "tRNA". From Rfam's summary of the family: Transfer RNA (tRNA) molecules are approximately 80 nucleotides in length. Their secondary structure includes four short double-helical elements and three loops (D, anti-codon, and T loops). The record is from RNAcentral. Lineage: Bacteria; Pseudomonadati; Pseudomonadota; Alphaproteobacteria; Rhodobacterales; Paracoccaceae.
GGUCCCGUAGCUCAGCUGGAUAGAGCGGCUGCCUUCUAAGCAGCAUGUCGGGGGUUCGAGUCCUCCCGGGAUCGCCA